RNAcentral lists this transfer RNA (73 nucleotides) under Chloroflexota bacterium. RNAcentral's name for it is "tRNA-Arg". It matches the Rfam family "tRNA". From Rfam's summary of the family: Transfer RNA (tRNA) molecules are approximately 80 nucleotides in length. Their secondary structure includes four short double-helical elements and three loops (D, anti-codon, and T loops). The record is from RNAcentral. Lineage: Bacteria; Bacillati; Chloroflexota.
GACCCCGUAGCUCAGUGGAUAGAGCGACAGACUUCGAAUCUGCAGGUCGGGCGUUCGAAUCGCCCCGGGGUCG